Long non-coding RNA from Arabidopsis thaliana (thale cress), 211 nucleotides. RefSeq annotates it as other RNA. Lineage: Eukaryota; Viridiplantae; Streptophyta; Magnoliopsida; Brassicales; Brassicaceae. The transcript has a single exon. The record is from RefSeq.
CUCUGUAACUCUCAAUAGAAGUCCUUCUCAACUUCACCCAAAUCGUGAUAUAUAUAUAUAUAUGUAUGUGUGUGUCAAAAUCAAAGAAACUUUCAUUAGAAACAACAAAGUAUCUUACAUAAAUACACUAACUGUCUCAGGCAUAGAAAAAAAAAGAGAAAGAGUAGAUGAAGAAAACAAAAGAUAUACGGAGCUAUUUUUUCUUCUCCAA